This 468-nucleotide ribosomal RNA is filed under the name uncultured bacterium. RNAcentral describes it as "partial 16S ribosomal RNA". It matches the Rfam family "Bacterial small subunit ribosomal RNA", at positions 28 to 507 of the family's 1533-position model. The record is from RNAcentral.
GACGAACGCUGGCGGCGUGCUUAACACAUGCAAGUCGAACGGAAAGGCCCUGCUUUUGUGGGGUGCUCGAGUGGCGAACGGGUGAGUAACACGUGAGUAACCUACCCUUGACUUUGGGAUAACUUCAGGAAACAGGGGCUAAUACCGGAUAGGAGCUCCUGCUGCAUGGUGGGGGUUGGAAAGUUUCGGCGGUUGGGGAUGGACUCGCGGCUUAUCAGCUUGUUGGUGGGGUAGUGGCUUACCAAGGCUUUGACGGGUAGCCGGCCUGAGAGGGUGACCGGCCACAUUGGGACUGAGAUACGGCCCAGACUCCUACGGGAGGCAGCAGUGGGGAAUAUUGCACAAUGGGCGGAAGCCUGAUGCAGCAACGCCGCGUGCGGGAUGACGGCCUUCGGGUUGUAAACCGCUUUCGCCUGUGACGAAGCGUGAGUGACGGUAAUGGGUAAAGAAGCACCGGCUAACUACGUG